This is a non-coding RNA of Salmo salar (Atlantic salmon), 54 nucleotides long. The record is from Rfam. Lineage: Eukaryota; Metazoa; Chordata; Actinopteri; Salmoniformes; Salmonidae.
AAAUGUAUGAAAUGUAAGUCACUCUGGAUAAGAGUGUCUGCUAAAUGACUAAAA